RNAcentral lists this ribosomal RNA (431 nucleotides) under uncultured organism. Its description in RNAcentral is "bacterial SSU rRNA". It matches the Rfam family "Bacterial small subunit ribosomal RNA", at positions 29 to 507 of the family's 1533-position model. The record is from RNAcentral.
AACGAACGCUGGCGGCAGGCCUAACACAUGCAAGUCGAACGCUCCGCAAGGGGAGUGGCAGACGGGUGAGUAACACGUGGGAACCUUCCCAUCGCUACGGAAUAGCUCAGGGAAACUUGGGGUAAUACCGUAUACGCCCGAAAGGGGAAAGAUUUAUCGGCGAUGGAUGGGCCCGCGGCUGAUUAGCUAGUUGGUGAGGUAACGGCUCACCAAGGCGACGAUCAGUAGCUGGUCUGAGAGGACGACCAGCCACACUGGGACUGAGACACGGCCCAGACUCCUACGGGAGGCAGCAGUGGGGAAUAUUGGACAAUGGGCGCAAGCCUGAUCCAGCCAUGCCGCGUGAGUGACGAAGGUCUUCGGAUUGUAAAGCUCUUUUGGCGGGGACGAUAAUGACGGUACCCGCAGAAUAAGCCCCGGCUAACUUCGUG